AUCUUGACUAGGUUGGGGAGCUAGGCGUUCCCUGUUACCAGAAACCGUCUAGAUGCUGGGACCGAAGCCUGCAGGGCGCUGUUGGAACAUGGAUGUGGUGGCGUGCUACGCCUAUGAAGUCCUGUCCCACUUGAUUGGUGGAGCAUGGGGCCCUUUUGGAGGAAAGGGUUAACAUGCCUGAUCUCUCAAACCCCGCCAGGUCCGGAAGGAAGCAACGGUAGGGAGGACAUUCGAUGCUUGUGGGGGUGCAGGACAGAGAACGAGAAUGUCCUUCCCAUCCAUGGGAAUUCGGUCACCUGUGGGCGCGUCACUUG
This 314-nucleotide signal recognition particle RNA is filed under the name Candidatus Methanofastidiosia archaeon. RNAcentral describes it as "Candidatus Methanofastidiosa archaeon Archaeal signal recognition particle RNA". It matches the Rfam family "Archaeal signal recognition particle RNA". The record is from Rfam by way of RNAcentral. Lineage: Archaea; Methanobacteriati; Methanobacteriota; Candidatus Methanofastidiosia.